AAUUAAUAAUAUAUCUGUAUUAUUUAGUAGCUUAAAUCGAUAGAUUUAAUAAAUAAAC
RNAcentral lists this transfer RNA (58 nucleotides) under Thor amboinensis. RNAcentral describes it as "tRNA-Cys". The record is from RNAcentral. Lineage: Eukaryota; Metazoa; Arthropoda; Malacostraca; Decapoda; Hippolytidae.